RNAcentral lists this ribosomal RNA (504 nucleotides) under uncultured bacterium. RNAcentral's name for it is "partial 16S ribosomal RNA". It matches the Rfam family "Bacterial small subunit ribosomal RNA", at positions 28 to 523 of the family's 1533-position model. The record is from RNAcentral.
GAUGAACGCUAGCGGCAGGCCUAAUACAUGCAAGUCGAACGGGAUCUGAGGGUAGCUUGCUACCCGAUUUGAGAGUGGCGCACGGGUGCGUAACGCGUGAGCAACCUACCCAUAUCAGGGGGAUAGCCCGAAGAAAUUCGGAUUAACACCGCAUAAUAAUACGCUAACACAUGUUGAUGUAUUUAAAUAUUUAAAGGAUAUGGAUGGGCUCGCGUGACAUUAGCUAGUUGGUAAGGUAACGGCUUACCAAGGCGACGAUGUCUAGGGGCUCUGAGAGGAGAAUCCCCCACACUGGUACUGAGACACGGACCAGACUCCUACGGGAGGCAGCAGUAAGGAAUAUUGGUCAAUGGGCGCAAGCCUGAACCAGCCAUGCCGCGUGCAGGAUGACUGCCCUACGGGUUGUAAACUGCUUUUGUUAGGGAAUAAACCUUCUUACGUGUAAGGAGCUGAAUGUACCUAAAGAAUAAGGAUCGGCUAACUCCGUGCCAGCAGCCGCGGUAA